This 72-nucleotide transfer RNA is filed under the name Camelus bactrianus (Bactrian camel). It matches the Rfam family "tRNA". Rfam says of the family: Transfer RNA (tRNA) molecules are approximately 80 nucleotides in length. Lineage: Eukaryota; Metazoa; Chordata; Mammalia; Artiodactyla; Camelidae. RNAcentral also lists the same sequence under 2 other names. The record is from Rfam by way of RNAcentral.
GGGCAUAUAGCUCAGUGGUAGAGUGUGUGCUUAGCAUGCACAGGGUCCUGGGUUCAAUCUCCAGUAGCUCCA